GACGAUUGCCACUUGAUGUACACAUUCGAGAUGAAGUAGAUCGAGCAGGCGGUGACGACGAGAAAGGUCAGGAAAAAGUAGGCUCUGAAGCAGCAACAAAAUGGCGUCCAAUUAGUGUGCGGCAGUGUAGAGCUUCGGAGUGCUCGAGUGGGCAUUAAAUGUUUGUGGUGAGAGCGUCAGCGAUACCGUCCCGAUGUACUUUAGCCCGUGGAUGGUGGUGUUGAGGCAGUACUCGCGAAGAUUCUCCGUAAACGAGACACGCUCCCUGUUGAUUGUCGCUUUGAUGCGUUGCUCUGCGGAGCGGAGGAUGCAUAUUUUGAAGCAAAGUUCAUAGCAGCUCAGGACACAUCAAUCGAGCUUUUUUGAAAAUCCAAAAUUCUACCUCCACUGAAAACUUGUCCGUUUUUCGAUGCCCAAUUCCCAACAGUGACCGUCCGGAUGGCGUGUG
Long non-coding RNA from Anopheles arabiensis, 448 nucleotides. RefSeq lists it as uncharacterized. The record is from RefSeq and is a predicted model, not a curated record. The transcript has 3 exons. Lineage: Eukaryota; Metazoa; Arthropoda; Insecta; Diptera; Culicidae.